Molecule: long non-coding RNA, 875 nt
Organism: Canis lupus familiaris (dog)
Lineage: Eukaryota; Metazoa; Chordata; Mammalia; Carnivora; Canidae
Exons: 3
Source: RefSeq, a predicted model, not a curated record
CAUGAAGAGCACUGAUAUGUUUGUACUGAUCAUUUGUAUCCUUCCACUUCAUUCCCUUUGAAGUAACUGGCUAGGCAUAGAAGGAUAUACAAAGUGACCUAAACAUGGACUCAGUCUACCCCUUUGGCCUAAUGCUUCUGACCAACUUAUUGACUUUAUUUUCCUCUAAAAGCAAAAUUUAUUUAAAUGUUUCUUAAUGACCUGAAAGAAUUCCUAGUUAUAUUCAGUUACUAAUUUAAGACAGUACAAGAAAUCACGGAAAAGCAUCUUAUUUCCUAAACGAUUAACUUCAAAGGAAAUUGCAACUUAUGAUUUACCAAGAAAUUGUCACAUUCCAGAGAGAAGAUUUUAUGAUACAUGCAUAGUUUCUCCUCAACUGAGACAGAUGCAUAUUCUUUCAAUUAUAUGGAAGCAAGUUGUUUUCUGAGUUCUUACAAUGCUUUCUGAUUUUAAAAAAUUUCAUUUAAAAGCCUAAUUGGAAAAAAACAGAAAGAGAAACAAAUGCCUGGGGAAGAUGUUCUUACCCAAGAACUGAUCAAGGAGUUCUUUGAACCAUGGGCUUUAAUUAUUGGCUGGUCAUUUCUUUUUAUCCACACUGUUGGCAUGGUUCCAGCUACAUGGAUGCAAAGGAUAGUCUAUUUCACCAAUGACCUACCUCAGUGUUCACAGAGCAUGGCACCAGCAUAUGCUUGGAACAUUUGAUUGCUUCAAGAGAAGAAGUGAUCGCAGGUUACAAAUUACAAAACUCUUCUAAUGGUCUAUAAUCUAAAGAAGGUCAAGAAUCAGUAUUCCUUUCACUGGACAAUUAGAGGUCCAUGACUGUGAACUUUCUAUUGAAUGCCAGACUUCAUUCAGGAUGUUUUCACUUGGGUUUU